GUCAUGUCCUGAAAAGUACAAUGGUGCAAGGGUACCCAAAUUUCUACAAGUGUUCUACAACGAUGCAGUGAGACCCCAAGAAAAGGUUUUCGCUUGGCACUGGAUACACCUGCAUGGGUACAUACCACCCUUGGCCUACCGUGAUCAGGAUCUUAAGUGCUUGGAUAUAUAACUGGAGCAAGACAAGUGUCGGCGGAAGAUGUACAGUGACUCUCAAUAUGACUUGCAUCACGGGAGCGCGUGGUAUCAUGAGUUCAAAGACUGGCCAUGGCUUCCACUAGCCCUUAUUUCCAUAACUAAAUGCUGUUCUCGCACUCGGGGAUGAUUCCAAAUAAGAAAAUAUCAUUUAGUUGCUGAAAUGAAAACACGUUGAACCCAUGCGCAAUCUUUGAACUCAUGAGGCCACACGCUCCCGUAUUGCAAGUCAUACUGAGUGGAAAAAAGAUUCUGCUAAAAGAUUCUACAUAAAAGUGGAAAAGUGAUUCUGCUACUCCAUGUAAUCCUGCAGUCUGCUAAGCAGGGCAAGCUCUAGAAGUAUGCCCACAAACAAUGCUGUCGAUAUGGUUGUGGUUUGCCUAGUCUAGGAAUGGCUACAAUUUAUGCCUAUUGAUGCCCAUUUCCACUGGGCAGCAAGUUUGCCAGUUUCCCAGCAUUACAUCAUGAAUGUAGUGAUCA
Molecule: long non-coding RNA, 675 nt
Organism: Rhipicephalus sanguineus (brown dog tick)
Lineage: Eukaryota; Metazoa; Arthropoda; Arachnida; Ixodida; Ixodidae
Exons: 2
Source: RefSeq, a predicted model, not a curated record